AUAAACACACAUUUAGAGAGACAAAGAGAGACGGAGAGAGAACGACAUGACAGAGAGCCGAUCACCCCAACCCGAUGAAGGUGAUGAUGGUGACGACUCCGACAACCAGAUUGGCAACGAUGGCAGCUAGGGUUCCAGUUUGGGGGUUUUGAAACCAGAUCGUCAAGGUGUUCAGGAUGUCUGCAAUCUGGUUGUCCAAUUUGGGGGUUUUGAAACACGCAGCCGGAAUUAACAGUUCAUGACUCAUUUCGCCGUUGCCAAAGUCGCUCAAGAAUCAAAUCUUCAAUUGAGAUAUGCUGUGUUUUCAAGGACUAUUCUUCUGUCCCGAAGUAGCUUCAUUGCUCCUUCAUAAUUUCUGCAUUUAUCACAUCGGUCCACCUGGCUGUGAACGUGCUAUUUUGUAUUUACGGUUUAAUUAUGACCACAUAAUAUUCAAUAAUCAAGUUCUGAUAUUCAUAUGUUUUGAAUGUUUGAGAGAUCAUGUUUAUUAUGGAGGAUAUUAACUUUUAUGUGCCCCUUUAAAAUUAAUAAUCAAAUAAUCACAUGUUUUGAGUGUUUGACAAAUUAAAAUAAAAAAAUUUAAAAUUAUAUUAUUAACGUAAAAAUUCUCUUCUGGGAUUUGUACAAGAGUCGUUGCAGCUAGGAGCAGCAGCCAUAUGUCCCGAUGAUCCGGUUCUGUCUGUGGAGGAUCUUUGUGAUCAGAUUCUCGAGGUCCUUAACUAUUUUAGGCUCGGUGCAGUGAUGUGCAUGGGGGCAAUGGCGGGUGCCUACAUUCUUACGCUCUUUGAGACAAAGCAUAGAACGAUAUGAUGCAUAUAUGAAUUCAGUGUGAAGAUGGGGAAUAAGAGAAUUAUUGUUGAUAGCAUCAAUCACUCACAUAAAUGAGACAUGCCCACUGUACGUUCGUGGACUGGCAGCAUGAGGAGUUCUUUUUCAUCAUCCAGAACUAAUUCUUUAAGAUACCAUGUUCAUUCUGCUUACUGUACGCAUAACUUAAGGUUAAAACUUGUGAUUACGUCAGUUAUGUGUGUUAAUAGUUAUCAGUGUAACGGGUUGAUGGCAAGUUAUUGGGUCUUACGGCUUACAUGCUCAAGGCCGAAUUGGGGCCAAAUGUCUUAGUGUUGUAGGGAAUAAAGUUUUUGAUGAUUAUAUUUGUAAUCCUUUGGAUUUUAGGAACAUGGGCAGGAGAGAGCAUACGUUAGUGAGAGCGUAUUCAUGUUUGUCCUUCUGUCUAUCCUCUUGGUAAUUAUGUGUUCUCUUUAAUGUGUUGCGAAUUUUGAUUAGUUAUGGUAACUUAUUUUGGUGUUGCUUUACUCGCUAUGUUAUUUUGGAUUUAUGGUUGUUAUGUAAAAAUAUUAGACUCAUCUGGUGUUUUGUACCAUGACUUUUUUUCUGUUACAGUGGACAUUCCAUCCUUUCAUAUUUAAGAGUAAAAAGAUUUACACAGUUCUAAUAUGGUGAAGGGUCCUCGCGUUUUUAGUUGUAUGUGUAUGAAAAUUGUGAGAGAAAAUGUGUAGCUUUUACUAAUUUGUUAUAACCAGGUUUGAUUUUCAGUUUGGGCAACUAGAAAAGCCGCAUGACGAGGACGACCGGCUAAAUGAUGCUAACGACUCAACGAUGCUAGCGGCGUGAAUCCUCUACGACUUUCGAAGAUUUCCAUCAAUAAUUGGAAAAAGAGAAACCUAAGGCGACUUCAAGUGCUAAAAAAACACCAAAACCACCACGAUCCCAGGCGCACAAAGCUUUUUAACUGGAUGUUGCAGACCCGUAGCUGAUUAGGGAGCUUGCCAUGAUUAAGAGGGCGAGAAUGGAGCGUAUGAAAGGCUACCUCAUCCUCAUCAUCGCAUAUUCAAAGAAGGGAUGUCAAGAUUGAUAGGAAGGGGAAACACCUUUUGAACAAUUGCCUACUAGGAAACAACCGCAACUGGAAGCCGUAGUUCAAAAAGCCACGUCGCCUAGGACAAUGUCUAGCCCCCGCCGCAUCGCGGCGGGUUACAUUUCUAGUUGUUAUUAAAUUAGCACAUAUAAUUAUGCUAACUGAGGGUAUAUGGGAAGCAAAAAAAACGCCAUUAUGCAGAAACUAGACAAAUCAAAACACAUAAAAAAAGAUCUAGCAAAGGUUGAAUCUUGUUGGUGAAUACGAAUCUAACAUUUAGACUAUUUUUUGGAAUAACUUCCGUCGUCAGUGAUGAUCUUUCCAUUGACGUUCCUUGAUUUGACAUUUAGCAAAGGUAAUGAUAAAAGAAACAAAUUAAAUUAAAGGCAUGAGUAGCGAUUGAAUAAUGCUACGUUGUUUUU
RNAcentral lists this long non-coding RNA (2298 nucleotides) under Helianthus annuus (common sunflower). The record is from RNAcentral. Lineage: Eukaryota; Viridiplantae; Streptophyta; Magnoliopsida; Asterales; Asteraceae.